GCAAACUUGGUCAUUUAGAGGAAGUAAAAGUCGUAACAAGGUAACCGUAGGUGAACCUGCGGUUGGAUCAUUACUGAAUUGCGGGAAAAGAAUUGAACCUCCCCUUUGUGUGAACUGUUAUUAUUUCUUUGGUGGCCCACAAACAUGUUGGCGCGUCUUUUUUUACACUGCCUCUUUUGAUUGAGAUCUUGAGAGCAUGUAGAAAGGACGCGACUUCGGGCCACCUAACUGUUAUCAAAUUCUUUGAUGUAUAUUUUAUCUUACAUGAUUGUUUGAGUUGAAUCUCCAAUAAACAAAAAACAACUUUUGACAAUGGAUCUCUUGGCUCUUGCAUCGAUGAAGAACGCAGC
Molecule: unclassified non-coding RNA, 350 nt
Filed under: uncultured fungus
Lineage: Eukaryota; Fungi
Description: partial contains small subunit ribosomal RNA, internal transcribed spacer 1, and 5.8S ribosomal RNA
Rfam family: Eukaryotic small subunit ribosomal RNA (bases 1-73)
Source: RNAcentral